Molecule: ribosomal RNA, 497 nt
Filed under: uncultured bacterium
Lineage: Bacteria
Description: partial 16S ribosomal RNA
Rfam family: Bacterial small subunit ribosomal RNA
Source: RNAcentral
GAUGAACGCUGGCGGCGUGCCUAAUACAUGCAAGUCGAGCGAACGGACGAGAAGCUUGCUUCUCUGAUGUUAGCGGCGGACGGGUGAGUAACACGUGGAUAACCUACCUAUAAGACUGGGAUAACUUCGGGAAACCGGAGCUAAUACCGGAUAAUAUUUUGAACCGCAUGGUUCAAAAGUGAAAGACGGUCUUGCUGUCACUUAUAGAUGGAUCCGCGCUGCAUUAGCUAGUUGGUAAGGUAACGGCUUACCAAGGCAACGAUGCAUAGCCGACCUGAGAGGGUGAUCGGCCACACUGGAACUGAGACACGGUCCAGACUCCUACGGGAGGCAGCAGUAGGGAAUCUUCCGCAAUGGGCGAAAGCCUGACGGAGCAACGCCGCGUGAGUGAUGAAGGUCUUCGGAUCGUAAAACUCUGUCAUUAGGGAAGAACAUAUGUGUAAGUAACUGUGCACAUCUUGACGGUACCUAAUCAGAAAGCCACGGCUAACUGCGUG